This 752-nucleotide ribosomal RNA is filed under the name Streptomyces sp. Its description in RNAcentral is "bacterial SSU rRNA". It matches the Rfam family "Bacterial small subunit ribosomal RNA", at positions 60 to 826 of the family's 1533-position model. Lineage: Bacteria; Bacillati; Actinomycetota; Actinomycetes; Kitasatosporales; Streptomycetaceae. The record is from RNAcentral.
AGUCGAACGAUGAACCUCCUUCGGGAGGGGAUUAGUGGCGAACGGGUGAGUAACACGUGGGCAAUCUGCCCUGCACUCUGGGACAAGCCCUGGAAACGGGGUCUAAUACCGGAUACUGAUCAUCUUGGGCAUCCUUGGUGAUCGAAAGCUCCGGCGGUGCAGGAUGAGCCCGCGGCCUAUCAGCUUGUUGGUGAGGUAACGGCUCACCAAGGCGACGACGGGUAGCCGGCCUGAGAGGGCGACCGGCCACACUGGGACUGAGACACGGCCCAGACUCCUACGGGAGGCAGCAGUGGGGAAUAUUGCACAAUGGGCGCAAGCCUGAUGCAGCGACGCCGCGUGAGGGAUGACGGCCUUCGGGUUGUAAACCUCUUUCAGCAGGGAAGAAGCGCAAGUGACGGUACCUGCAGAAGAAGCGCCGGCUAACUACGUGCCAGCAGCCGCGGUAAUACGUAGGGCGCGAGCGUUGUCCGGAAUUAUUGGGCGUAAAGAGCUCGUAGGCGGCUUGUCGCGUCGGUUGUGAAAGCCCGGGGCUUAACCCCGGGUCUGCAGUCGAUACGGGCAGGCUAGAGUUCGGUAGGGGAGAUCGGAAUUCCUGGUGUAGCGGUGAAAUGCGCAGAUAUCAGGAGGAACACCGGUGGCGAAGGCGGAUCUCUGGGCCGAUACUGACGCUGAGGAGCGAAAGCGUGGGGAGCGAACAGGAUUAGAUACCCUGGUAGUCCACGCCGUAAACGGUGGGCACUAGGUGUGGG